GCGGAAGUGGCGGAAUUGGCAGACGCGCUAGCCUCAGGAGCUAGUGACCGCAAGGUCAUGAAGGUUCGAGUCCUUUCUUCCGCACCA
RNAcentral lists this transfer RNA (87 nucleotides) under Vicinamibacterales bacterium. RNAcentral describes it as "tRNA-Leu". It matches the Rfam family "tRNA". From Rfam's summary of the family: Transfer RNA (tRNA) molecules are approximately 80 nucleotides in length. Lineage: Bacteria; Pseudomonadati; Acidobacteriota; Vicinamibacteria; Vicinamibacterales. The record is from RNAcentral. RNAcentral also lists the same sequence under 1 other name.